RNAcentral lists this ribosomal RNA (1745 nucleotides) under Hemicriconemoides parasinensis. RNAcentral describes it as "SSU rRNA". It matches the Rfam family "Eukaryotic small subunit ribosomal RNA". The record is from RNAcentral. Lineage: Eukaryota; Metazoa; Nematoda; Chromadorea; Rhabditida; Criconematidae.
AUAAGGUUAAAGCAUGCAUGUAUAAGUACACGCCUUAACAAGGUGAAACCGCGAACGGCUCAUUACAACAGCUAUAAUCUACUCGGUCUUGAACAGUUACUCGGAUAACUGUGGUAAUUCUAGAGCUAAUACGUGCACCGAGGCUGUCCCUCGCGGGGCAGUGCAUUUGUUGGAGCAAAACCAGGCGGCUUCGGCCGUUUUUGCUGACUCAGAACAACUCAGCUGAUCGCAUGGGCUUGUCCCGGCGACGUACCGUCCGAGUGUCUGCCUUAUCAACUUUCGAUGGUAGUGUACGUGACUACCAUGGUUGUGACGGGUAACGGAGGAUAAGGGUUCGACUCCGGAGAAGGGGCCUGAGAAAUGGCCACUACGUCUAAGGAUGGCAGCAGGCGCGCAAAUUACCCACUCUCGGUUCGAGGAGGUAGUGACGAAAAAUAACAAGGCUGUUCUCUACGAGGCCAGCCAUUGGAAUGGGUACAACACAAACCCUUUAACGAGUAUCAAUGAGAGGGCAAGUCUGGUGCCAGCAGCCGCGGUAAUUCCAGCUCUCAAAAUGCAUAGAACCAUUGCUGCGGUUAAAAAGCUCGUAGUUGGAUCUGUGCCGGCGACGUGGUCCACCCUAACGGGCGGUACUGCGCUCGUCGGCUUUGGGCCGGUCUCCGUGCGGUGGCCUUCACUGGUCGCCGUCCGUGGCUGGCUGGUUUACUUUGAGCAAAUCAGAGUGCUCAGCACAGGCGUCUCGCCGGAAUGUUCGUGCAUGGAAUAAUAGAAAAGGAUUUCGGUCCUCUUUUAUUGGUUUUGUGGACUGAGAUAAUGGUUAACAGAGACGAACGGGGGCAUUCGUAUUGCUGCGUGAGAGGUGAAAUUCUUGGACCGYAGYAGGACGGAACUACAGCGAAAGCAUUUGCCAAGCGCGUCUUCAUUAAUCAAGAACGAAAGUCAGAGGUUCGAAAGGCGAUCCAGAUACCGCCCUAGUUCUGAACCGUAAACGAUGCCAACUAGCGAUCCGACGGCGGCUCCAAAAAGGCCCUGUUGGGGAGCUUCCCGGAAACGAAAGUCUUCCGGUUCCGGGGGAAGUAUGGUUGCAAAGCUGAAACUUAAAGGAAUUGACGGAAGGGCACCACCAGGAGUGGAGCCUGCGGCUUAAUUUGACUCAACACGGGAAAACUCACCCGGCCCGGACACCGUGAGGAUUGACAGAUUGAUAGCUUUUUCAUGAUUCGGUGGUUGGUGGUGCAUGGCCGUUCUUAGUUCGUGGAUCGAUUUGUCUGGUUUAUUCCGAUAACGAGCGAGACUCCAGCCUACUAACUAGUGCGGGCGUUGUCUCUGCGCUUGUCACUUCUUAGAGGGAUUGGCUGCGCCUAGCGGCACGAAACGGAGCAAUAACAGGUCUGUGAUGCCCUUAGAUGUCCGGGGCUGCACGCGCGCUACACUGGCAAAGGCAGCGUGCUUGUCCGCCUCCGAAAGGAGCCGGUAAACCCUUGAAAAUUUGCCGUGAUUGGGAUCGGAAAUUGCAAUUAUUUUCCGUGAACGAGGAAUUCCUAGUAAGUGCGAGUCAUCAGCUCGCGUUGAUUACGUCCCUGCCCUUUGUACACACCGCCCGUCGCUGCCUAGAACUGAGCCAUUUCGAGAAUAUUCGGGAUCGCUGGUUGCGGGUCCUUCGGGGCACGCCUCUGGCUAAGGAACGAACGUAAUCGCAGUGGCUUGAACCGGGCAAAAGUCGUAACAAGGUAGCUUGUAGGUGA